This 253-nucleotide ribosomal RNA is filed under the name uncultured bacterium. Its description in RNAcentral is "partial 16S ribosomal RNA". It matches the Rfam family "Bacterial small subunit ribosomal RNA", at positions 524 to 776 of the family's 1533-position model. The record is from RNAcentral.
UACGAGUGGCCCAAGCGUUAAUCGGAAUCACUGGGCUUAAAGGGUGCGCAGGCGGACCGGUAGGCACUUUGUGAAAGCCCACGGCUCAACCGUGGAAUUGCAGGGUGAACCACCGGUCUCGAGGCAGGUAGGGGUCAGCGGAACUAUGGGUGGAGCGGUGAAAUGCGUAGAUAUCCAUGGGAACGCCGAUGGCGAAGGCAGCUGACUGGGCCUGUCCUGACGCUCAGGCACGAAAGCGUGGGUAGCAAACGGG